Molecule: ribosomal RNA, 253 nt
Filed under: uncultured bacterium
Lineage: Bacteria
Description: partial 16S ribosomal RNA
Rfam family: Bacterial small subunit ribosomal RNA
Source: RNAcentral
GACAGAGGGUGCAAACGUUGCUCGGAUUUACUGGGCGUAAAGCGCGUGUAGGCGGGCGACUAAGUCGGAUGUGAAAUCCCUGGGCUCAACCUAGGAACUGCAUUCGAAACUGGUCACCUAGAGUGAUGGAGAGGAAAGCGGAAUUCCCGGUGUAGAGGUGAAAUUCGUAGAUAUCGGGAGGAACACCAGUAGCGAAGGCGGCUCGCUGGGCCACACCUGACGCUGAGACGCGAAAGCUAGGGGAGCGAACAGG